UAGGGAAUCUUCGGCAAUGGACGAAAGUCUGACCGAGCAACGCCGCGUGAGUGAAGAAGGUUUUCGGAUUGUAAAGCACUUUCGACGGGGACGAUGAUGACGGUACCCGUAGAAGAAGCCCCGGCUAACUUCGUGCCAG
RNAcentral lists this ribosomal RNA (139 nucleotides) under uncultured bacterium. RNAcentral's name for it is "partial 16S rRNA". It matches the Rfam family "Bacterial small subunit ribosomal RNA", at positions 355 to 511 of the family's 1533-position model. The record is from RNAcentral.